UCUGGUGGAAGCCCGCAGCGAU
Molecule: small nuclear RNA, 22 nt
Filed under: Arabidopsis thaliana (thale cress)
Lineage: Eukaryota; Viridiplantae; Streptophyta; Magnoliopsida; Brassicales; Brassicaceae
Description: snRNA_02480
Source: RNAcentral